UACUUGGGUAACAUCCCUUCAAGAUUGGGAUAACGCGCCGAAAGGCGUGCUAAUACCGGAUAAGACCACGACCCCUCCGGGGGUUGGGGUCAAAGAUGGCCUCUAUUUAUAAGCUAUCACUUGAAGAUUGGCUCAAGCACCAUUAGCUAGUUGGCGGGGUAAUGGCCCACCAAGGCUACGAUGGUUAGCCGGCCUGAGAGGGUGAUCGGCCACACUGGGACUGAGAUACGGCCCAG
RNAcentral lists this ribosomal RNA (236 nucleotides) under uncultured bacterium. RNAcentral describes it as "partial 16S ribosomal RNA". It matches the Rfam family "Bacterial small subunit ribosomal RNA", at positions 114 to 334 of the family's 1533-position model. The record is from RNAcentral.